This 621-nucleotide long non-coding RNA is filed under the name Panax ginseng (ginseng). RNAcentral's name for it is "long non-coding RNA (PGIN_LNC017579)". The record is from RNAcentral. Lineage: Eukaryota; Viridiplantae; Streptophyta; Magnoliopsida; Apiales; Araliaceae.
CUGGUUGAAAAAAACUUGUCGAAAAUGUCAUAUUUAUUUUUUUGUAACACCGAGAGGUUGGUGUAAGAAUUGAACCAUUGUGGGAGUAGUUAGAAAAAACAGCAAGGCAUGAAAUAAAAUUUGUCUCGCUCAUAUUGACCUCGUCGUAGACGUUUUUCGCCUUCAACAAACUAAAAUACGCGUCAAUCGUCAAACCCCAUAUCAAGUUCCCUGGCCUAAGCGAUAUUAGGUCCUUAUGCUCCAAUCUGUACUCAUUGUCGGGACCUAUAUGAGGAAAUUGACUUAGGUCCACCAUAUCCGAAAACUAAUUCCUACUAAGCCACUCCACCUUCUGUACCUUCAAUGGUUUGAGAGGAUCCCUCUUAAACAUGGACGACCGGUCCACCCGUAGACAAAAAUGAAGAAUAUUACACACCCCAUCCACCCCACUAUAUAUACGCUCAGAAUGUGAUUCAGUAGCUGGCGUUUCUUCGCGUAUUGGAGUCAACUCCAUAGCCUGAAAUUAUCUCAUACUCUCAAAAUCACCCGUAUAACUCGGCUGAUACAUGCAAGGGGGAGGAGGUGUUAAUUGCAUUUUGGAAUCCUUCUCAACUACAAAUGGGAGGUCAGGCCUAUAGGGGG